This 76-nucleotide transfer RNA is filed under the name Medicago truncatula (barrel medic). RNAcentral's name for it is "tRNA gene4300". It matches the Rfam family "tRNA". Rfam says of the family: Transfer RNA (tRNA) molecules are approximately 80 nucleotides in length. Their secondary structure includes four short double-helical elements and three loops (D, anti-codon, and T loops). Lineage: Eukaryota; Viridiplantae; Streptophyta; Magnoliopsida; Fabales; Fabaceae. The record is from RNAcentral.
AGCUGGAAUAGCUCAGUGGGUUAGAGCGUAUGGUUGUUAACCACAAGGUCAGAGGUUCAACCCCUCCUUUUAGCGU